CAGGUGCUGUGGCUCAGGUGCCAUGGUUCAGGUGACAUAGCUCGGGUGCCAUGGUUCAGGUGACAGAGCUCAGGUCCCAUGGCUUGGGUGAUGUGUUUCAGGUGCCAUGGCUCAGGUGCCGUGGCUCAGGUUCCAUGGUUCAGGUGACAUAGCUUGGGUGCCAUGGUUCAGGUCACAUAGCUCAGGUGCCGUGGUUCAGGUGACAUGUUUCAGGUGCCAUAGCUCGGGUGCCAUGGCUCAGGUGCCAUAGCUCGGGUGCCAUGGCUCAGGUGCCAUAGCUCGGGUGCCAUGGUUCAGGUGACAUGUUUCGGGUGCCAUGGCUCAGGUGACGUGUUUCAGGUGCCAUGUUUCAGGUGCCAUGUUUCAGGUGCCAUAGCUCGGGUGCCAUGGCUCAGGUGCCGUGUUUCAGGUGCCAUAGCUCGGGUGCCAUGGUUCAGGUGACGUGUUUCAGGUGCUGUGGUUCAGGUGCCAUAGCUCGGGUGCCAUAGCUCGGGUGCCAUGGUUCAGGUGCCAUAGCUUGGGUGCCAUGGUUCAGGUGACAUGUUUCAGGUGCCGUGGCUCGGGUGGGCAGGUGGCAGCGAGGGCGAGGGUGG
Molecule: long non-coding RNA, 593 nt
Organism: Oenanthe melanoleuca
Lineage: Eukaryota; Metazoa; Chordata; Aves; Passeriformes; Muscicapidae
Exons: 7
Source: RefSeq, a predicted model, not a curated record